Molecule: long non-coding RNA, 702 nt
Organism: Chelonoidis abingdonii (Abingdon island giant tortoise)
Lineage: Eukaryota; Metazoa; Chordata; Testudines; Testudinidae
Source: RefSeq, a predicted model, not a curated record
AGCAGUAAAAAUUAUUUUUUGUCACUUAAGUGAACAGACUUUGACUACAUGCAGGGAGCAGACCUACUGAGUAAGAAGGAGACAUUUUACCCAAUCACUUUAAUUGUAGAAUCCCAUUUUAAUUAGGUAGAUGAGCAGCAUUUUUCAGAGAUUUUUACUAAGGAAAACAUGCAGCCAUCUCUAAAACAGUCAAUGCUCCAGUCAGUAUCAGUUAUUACUAUUGUUCUGGGAUUGACUUUAGGGGAGGGGAGAUUUGUCUGUGCUGUAAACCUAAAAAUGCACAGAGAGAAAACACCUGAUAGCACAGGCAGCUACAAGAAACAGUCCCCUGGUUCCUCUCAGAAGCAUGAUCAGGGAGAAGAGCUUGGAUGCACUUUGCUGUAUAUUCAGGUUCAGCAGCAAGAGUUAGGGCUUUUAUCCAGGAAUACCUCAUCUUGAAACUGGGUCUCUGGAUCAGAAAUUGUCAUGAUGCAGGAGAUCACAGGAAUGUAGGAGCAGACAAGGAAGUGUGAGGCAGCAUACAGAUCCCACAAUGGACAACAAGGGAUUAAGGAACUGCUCUGAGCUAAGGGAGCUCCACCUUGCCACACCUGCAAGGCAUGCACAGACUGAAGGAAGAGCUUAAAAGGGGAGCAGAGUCACUCAGUUACUGGAAGAUUAGGGAAGAGAACAAGCCUCCAGCUCCUAAGGAAAGGGCUUUCU